GCAUAUAUAAGGCAUUGGCAGAAUUACCUCUACAUCUCCAUCCUACACCGCUAUUGGAAGUGUCUCGUAGAUUUUAGAUUGUCAAAUGCGUUAGCAGUAAAUUACGGGCGGAGAACGAAGGCUGCCACCACCAUGUGACGGUGGGGCCUCCGUGAUCUGCGGCAAACUAACUUCUAUUACACCAAUCACUAAUCACUGUACAAAAGCUGCCUUAUCGCUCAGAUGCCAAUUACUACGUUGAAUUCAAGUACUAAAAAUCUGUUCUCACUCAACUUUAUAUAUCCACUCUCACUUUAUUUUCCCCACUCUUCUUCACUUUCAAUCAUAGAAUCUUCACACACGCUUUUCGUCAAGCCGUUGAAGCACUGAACUUGCGUUUCAAAUUUUCAGAAUAUUGAGUGUGUUAUUAUUAUUAUUAUUAUUAUUUUUCAAUUUGUGUGUAUUAUAGUUCAGGAUGCCUAGUAGUGUGACUUCAUCAGAGGAUGAAUGCGAAGAGUUACAAUCGCGGCGAUUUGAUGACAGUUAUAGUUUCAGCGCUGACGUCAGCGAGUCGGAGAGCUCGUCUUCGAGUACAAGCACUUNNN
This 584-nucleotide long non-coding RNA is filed under the name Olea europaea (common olive). RNAcentral describes it as "long non-coding RNA (OEUR_LNC010591)". Lineage: Eukaryota; Viridiplantae; Streptophyta; Magnoliopsida; Lamiales; Oleaceae. The record is from RNAcentral.